This 468-nucleotide ribosomal RNA is filed under the name uncultured bacterium. Its description in RNAcentral is "partial 16S ribosomal RNA". It matches the Rfam family "Bacterial small subunit ribosomal RNA", at positions 28 to 507 of the family's 1533-position model. The record is from RNAcentral.
GACGAACGCUGGCGGCGUGCUUAACACAUGCAAGUCGAACGGAAAGGCCCUGCUUUUGUGGGGUGCUCGAGUGGCGAACGGGUGAGUAACACGUGAGUAACCUGCCCUUGACUUUGGGAUAACUUCAGGAAACUGGGGCUAAUACCGGAUAGGAGCUCCUGCUGCAUGGUGGGGGUUGGAAAGUUUCGGCGGUUGGGGAUGGACUCGCGGCUUAUCAGCUUGUUGGGGGGGUAGUGGCUUACCAAGGCUUUGACGGGUAGCCGGCCUGAGAGGGUGACCGGCAACAUUGGGACUGAGAUACGGCCCAGACUCCUACGGGAGGCAGCAGUGGGGAAUAUUGCACAAUGGGCGGAAGCCUGAUGCAGCAACGCCGCGUGCGGGAUGACGGCCUUCGGGUUGUAACCCGCUUUCGCCUGUGACGAAGCGUGAGUGACGGUAAUGGGUAAAGAAGCACCGGCUAACUACGUG